UUCCGGUUGAUCCUGCCGGACCUGACUGCUAUCGGAUUGAUACUAAGCCAUGCGAGUCAUUGUGGCAAUACAAGGCAUACGGCUCAGUAACGCGUAGUCAACCUAACCUAUGGACGGGAAUAACCUCGGGAAACUGAGAAUAAUGCCCGAUAGAACACUAUACCUGGAAUGGUUUGUGUUCCAAAUGAUUUAUCGCCAUAGGAUGGGACUGCGGCCCAUCAGUUUGUUGGUGAGGUAAUGGCCCACCAAGACUAUUACAGGUACGGGCUCUGAGAGGAGUAGCCCGGAGAUGGGUACUGAGACACGGACCCAGGCCCUAUGGGGCGCAGCAGGCGAGAAAACUUUGCAAUGUGCGAAAGCACGACAAGGUUAAUCCGAGUGAUUUGUGCUAAACGAGUCUUUUGUUAGUCCUAGAAACACUAACGAAUAAGGGGUGGGCAAGUUCUGGUGUCAGCCGCCGCGGUAAAACCAGCACCUCAAGUGGUCAGGAUGAUUAUUGGGCCUAAAGCAUCCGUAGCCGGCUCUGUAAGUUUUCGGUUAAAUCUGUACGCUUAACGUACAGGCUGCCGGGAAUACUGCAGAGCUAGGGAGUGGGAGAGGUAGACGGUACUCGGUAGGAAGUGGUAAAAUGCUUUGAUCUAUCGAUGACCACCUGUGGCGAAGGCGGUCUACCAGAACACGUCCGACGGUGAGGGAUGAAAGCUGGGGGAGCAAACCGGAUUAGAUACCCGGGUAGUCCCAGCUGUAAACUAUGCGAACUCAGUGAUGCAUUGGCUUGUGGCCAAUGCAGUGCUGCAGGGAAGCCGUUAAGUUUGCCGCCUGGGAAGUACGUACGCAAGUAUGAAACUUAAAGGAAUUGGCGGGGGAGCACCACAAGGGGUGAAGCCUGCGGUUCAAUUGGANUCAACGCCGGG
This 914-nucleotide ribosomal RNA is filed under the name uncultured crenarchaeote. RNAcentral's name for it is "bacterial SSU rRNA". It matches the Rfam family "Archaeal small subunit ribosomal RNA", at positions 1 to 922 of the family's 1478-position model. Lineage: Archaea; Thermoproteati; Thermoproteota. The record is from RNAcentral.